Molecule: ribosomal RNA, 468 nt
Filed under: uncultured bacterium
Lineage: Bacteria
Description: partial 16S ribosomal RNA
Rfam family: Bacterial small subunit ribosomal RNA
Source: RNAcentral
GAUGAACGCUGGCGGCGUGCUUAACACAUGCAAGUCGAACGGACAGGCCCUGCUUUUGUGGGGUGCACGAGUGGCGAACGGGUGAGUAACACGCGAGUAACCUGCCCUUGACUUAGGGAUAACUCCAGGAAACUGCGGCUAAUACCGGAUAGGAGCUCCUGCUGCAUGGUGGGGGUUGGAAAGUUUCGGCGGUUGGGGCUGGACUCGCGGCUUAUCAGCUUGUUGGUGGGGUAGUGGCUUACCAAGGCUUUGACGGGUAGCCGGCCUGGGAGGGUGACCGGCCACAUUGGGACUGAGAUACGGCCCAGACUCCUACGGGACGCAGCAGUGGGGAAUAUUGCACAAUGGGCGGAAGCCUGAUGUAGCAGCGCCGCGUGCGGGAUGACGGCCUUCGGGUUGUAAACCGCUUUCGCCUGUGACGAAGCGUGAGUGACGGUAAUGGGUAAAGAAGCACCGGCUAACUACGUG